CAUGGAGCACCAAUUGGGAAACGCUGUCGUAGAGGAUUUAAUGGAUCGACUUCAGAAAUUCUCCAAAUGAGCAAUAGAGCUGAUAUGGCCACCACAGAGAAGACACUGGAGAGGAGCAGAGUUGGAGACAACCUACUAAUCAUACCGCACCCAGAAGAACUGUUUAGCGUAUUGCAUAGUGCCCAGCUAACCCUUGCAGUCUCUGAACCAUGGGGAUUAAUGAUUGAAUUAACACAUCUCUGCACAACUGAUUUCUGUGUUUAUUAAAGCGCAAGCCCUGAUCUAUUUUUCUACACAUCAACGGGCAACAGGCCAGCUAAGUCUUCUCCUUAAACGUGACGCCUAUUAUACUGUGAAAGCCUCAGUGCCUUUCCCUCCCUCCGCCUCCUCCGAGCAGCUGACUCUCCUCUCAGAUCUGUGUCAAACACUUGGAGAAUGUGCCAAAUGCUAACAACAUUUUCUCAACAACCAGAAUUCUCACAACUGAAAUGAGUAGCAAAAGACUCAACAAGACUAUGGUGCAUUUUAGAAACAGGUGCAUAACUAAAAUAUCCUACCAAGUCCCAUUCAUUAAAGUCAUUCAUUUACCACAUUUUUUAGUAAAUGAAAGGAAUGGCAGUGGAAAGCUUAGUUCUUUUUUGUUGCAUGUUUUGUGUGUACAGGUUGCUUUAAAAGGAAUGUUGGCUAUAACAAGAAGGUGCAAGGACCUUCUCUGUGAGAAAAUGCUAACAGGCUCUUUUUAAUCUAGUAGAGAAAAGCAUAACAACGAAUCAAGGUCUGCCACGGAAAGCCAAACGGGAAAUAAGGAAUAACCUUUUGAACUGGAGGAUUAAGCUUUGAAAGAAACUAGCAAGCAAAGUGCUGGAUCCUUCAUCGCUUGAAGCCUUUAAGACUAGAUGUCUUUCUGGGAAGACAUAGUUUAUUUAGACACAAUUUAUUGGAUUGAAUACAGGAGAACCUGGAUGAAAUUCUAUGGUCUUGUUACACAGGAGAUCAGAUCAGAUGGUCCCUUCUUGCCAGGUCUGAGGAUGUAUGUGUGGGGGAGAUAAAGGGCACAAUUACUCCAGGGCCUGGUGACUCCAAGGGGACCAGGGUUCUUGGCUGCCACUGCUGCUAAUGCAACAGCAUCAGCAGCUAGAGUCCCAGGUCCUUCCAAUCUCUGCCACAGUGCUGUGCCACACACUCUAAGGGGUUCUGAGUUGUUUUGGACAAGGAACUGAUCCUUCUGUGGCACAAAGCCCUCCCCAUCUUUCCCGAGGGUCAUGGUGGCUAUCGGCCCCCGCUGCUUCUGGCCUUAAAAUCUAUGAAUAUAUGAAUAAUUUAAUCUAUCAACACAACAAAGUUUGGUCCUAAAGACCACUUUAGUAAGAAAUGUAAUGCCUGUUCCCACAUUGGACACGUGACAUUUACUCAAUCACCUGCAAUAAAAUAUAUUAUCAUUAUGCAUCUUAUUUCUCUGAGGCAUUAAAGGAGCGGGCCAGAGAAAGUCUGACAAAGUCGUAUUUCAUCAGACCACACAGUUUUAUCAAUAUCAAAAGACUUUGCAAAAGAGGGUUCCUUUCAUAGAAAUUUAUUUCAGAAAAAAGG
Molecule: non-coding RNA, 1587 nt
Organism: Pelodiscus sinensis (Chinese soft-shelled turtle)
Lineage: Eukaryota; Metazoa; Chordata; Testudines; Trionychidae
Source: RefSeq, a predicted model, not a curated record